This 251-nucleotide ribosomal RNA is filed under the name Staphylococcus warneri. Its description in RNAcentral is "partial 23S ribosomal RNA". It matches the Rfam family "Bacterial large subunit ribosomal RNA", at positions 848 to 1097 of the family's 2925-position model. Lineage: Bacteria; Bacillati; Bacillota; Bacilli; Caryophanales; Staphylococcaceae. The record is from RNAcentral.
GCUGGUUCUCUCCGAAAUAGCUUUAGGGCUAGCCUCAAGUGAUGAUUAUUGGAGGUAGAGCACUGUUUGGACGAGGGGCCCUUCUCGGGUUACCGAAUUCAGACAAACUCCGAAUGCCAAUUAAUUUAACUUGGGAGUCAGAACAUGGGUGAUAAGGUCCGUGUUCGAAAGGGAAACAGCCCAGACCACCAGCUAAGGUCCCAAAAUAUAUGUUAAGUGGAAAAGGAUGUGGCGUUGCCCAGACAACCAGA